Galeopterus variegatus (Sunda flying lemur) is the source of this 417-nucleotide long non-coding RNA. RefSeq lists it as uncharacterized. NCBI's taxonomy places the organism in Eukaryota, Metazoa, Chordata, Mammalia, Dermoptera, Cynocephalidae. The record is from RefSeq and is a predicted model, not a curated record. The transcript has 2 exons.
GGGUGUAUAGAAAAUUGCUGGUGUUUUGGAGCAAGGACUUUUCACCUGCUAGAAAGCAUCCAAAAGUGAGGUGCUUAACUCCAGGCACCAAUCCAAGCAGUGACUUUGUUACUAAGAGGGAAGGGACUUUGGUUGGUUUCACAUCGGCCUUUUUUUUUUAGCCACAACUACAUGCUGACACAAUUCUGCCAACGUUGUAGGUUUUUGUUUUUAGGUGAAAGUUAAAUGUGGCCUGUGCCCCCUCAUUUAAUUCCCAUUUUGUAGGGACAUCCUACUGACUUCGUUGGAUAGCCACCAAGGUCGCUCCAGAUCUUCAGCAGAUGUUUUCCUUGAGGCAGCUAUUGGAAGAUAUGUUUUCUGAGGAAACAGACUACAACCCAUUUAUUAAAACCAUUUGCAUUGUAUUCAUUUAUCAGA